Molecule: small RNA, 475 nt
Filed under: Pongo abelii (Sumatran orangutan)
Lineage: Eukaryota; Metazoa; Chordata; Mammalia; Primates; Hominidae
Description: processed transcript
Source: RNAcentral
GGUGGCUGCGGUAGCCGCUGCGCGCUGAGGCGCCUGCUCAGUGUGGGACGCGGAGCGCGAGGGGCGGCGGCCGCCGCUGGCGCUCAAGCAUGGCGGCGGCGGCGUUGGGCAGCUCCUCAGGCUCGGAGUCCCCGGCCGUGGCCGAGCUCUGCCAGAACACCCCGGAGACCUUUCUGGAGGCCUCCAAGCUGCUGCUCACCUAUGCUGACAACAUCCUCAGAAACCCUAAUGAUGAAAAAUAUAGAUCUAUCCGGAUUGGAAAUACAGCCUUUUCUACUAGACUCUUGCCUGUCAGAGGAGCUGUUGAAUGUUUAUUUGAAAUGGGCUUUGAAGAGGUUCCAUUUCAGGCCCUGAAGUAACAGUAGUGAACAAAGUAGUAGAUAUAAUCCCAUCUCACAUGGAGCUUACAUUCUAGUAGGUUAAACAGCCAGUAGAUGUGAAAACAAGAUGAGUGCAAAGAAGAAAAUAAGACCAG